UGUUUUUCUCGUCUUCUCCGUCGUCGUCGUCUUCUUCUUCUUCUUCUUCUUCUUCUUCUUCUUCUUCGUAGCCGUGAAAUCAAAUCGUAAAAGAUUCCAACUUUAUGUACCGAAGAAGGGCUGAAAGAUGACAGACAACGGAGAUGAGGCUAAGGUUCCUCCUAGCGACUCGUCUACAUCGAACGAUGCUUCUCGAACGAGGCAAAGGAGAAAGAGAAAGUGGGAUCAGCCUGCCGAGCAGCUAUCAAUGUUCCUCCUUCUUCAACUGUUGCUCCAUUGUUCCAAACCCUUAUGCCUCAUCCAUUUCCUAAACUUAUUCAAGUAAUUCACUUUCACGCUCUUUUCAAUGUUCUAUGCGUUACUGUAUGACUAUGAGAUUCCACAACCGCCCCAAAUAUGGUGUCUGCGUUUGUGGCUUUAAUGCUAUUUACAUGUGUACUUCUGAACGGUCUGCUGUUUGUGGUUAUUUCUCUAUUUUGGUGGUUGAGGUUGCUGUGGCAAGUCCUGUAUUGGUGGUUGAGGUUGAUAUGCAGGACAGGACAAAGGAAUAAAAGUGGUUACGUUUUGUAUCAGUCACGUUUUGUAUGCUUCUGUGGGAGCAGUAACGUUUUGUAUCAUCGGCCUAGUGAAGAAGUGUCAUUGUCGUCACUCACGUUUUGUAUGCUAGUGUAUUAUCAGUCACAAACUUUUGUAUCCUUGUGUAUUAAGUGUCAUGUAUUCUUGUGUAUUAUGAGUCACAGAAGUGGUGUUGUGUUUGUUGUCUUGUUGUCAAAGUCGCUUUGUGUUUGUUGUUUUCUUGUGUCAUUGUCUUUAAAAUACAAUCUUGUAGUAAAUUUGUAUCUUGUAAUGAAAGUAUUGUCUUUAGAAUUC
Molecule: long non-coding RNA, 870 nt
Organism: Brassica oleracea var. oleracea
Lineage: Eukaryota; Viridiplantae; Streptophyta; Magnoliopsida; Brassicales; Brassicaceae
Exons: 2
Source: RefSeq, a predicted model, not a curated record